UCAGCAUGGAGCGACUCCCCGGCCCUGCCGUGCCCCAGGUGGCGCUGCUGGAUGCCGCUGCCCGCCCCGAGGAAGAAGGGUUCCUGGAGGCCCUGUGCCCCAGGGAGGAGGGGGAGGAGGAGGAGGAGGAGGAGGAGGAAGAAGACAGGCGGAGGAGCCCAAGACCUGUCACCUUCACGCUGGGCAACGAGAUGCUGGGGCUGGGCCCGGAGAGUGAGUUUCAGACCCCCGAUGCCGAGAUCUACAUGCACUUCCUGAGGAGCCACUGCUGCUAUGACGCGGUCCCCACCAGCUGCAAGCUCGUCGUCUUCGACAUAUCCCUGGAGAUCAAGAAAGCUUUCUUGGCGCUGGUGGCCAACGGGGUGCGUGCCGCCCCGCUCUGGGACAGCAAGACGCAGAGCUUUGUGGGGAUGCUCACCAUCACAGAUUUCAUCAAUAUCCUCCACCGCUACUACCGCUCGCCGCUGGUUCAGAUCUACGAGGUGGAAGAGCACAAGAUUGAGACCUGGAGAGAGGUGUACCUGCAAGGAUCCUUGAAGCCACUGGUCUACAUCUCCCCAAGCAAUAGCCUCUUCGACGCUGUCUACUCCCUGAUCAAGCACAAGAUCCACCGCCUGCCUGUCAUCGAGCCUGUCUCCGGCAACGUCCUGCACAUCCUGACGCACAAGCGCAUCCUCAAGUUCCUCCACAUCUUUGGCUCCACCAUCCCCAAGCCGCGCUUCCUGAAGAAAACGGUGCAGGAGCUGUGUGUUGGCACCUUCCGUGAUGUGGCUGUCGUGCCUGAGACCGCCCCCAUCUAUGCCGCCCUGGAGAUCUUUGUGGACCGCCGCGUCUCCGCCCUGCCUGUCAUCAACGAUGCUGGGCAAGUGGUCGGCCUCUACUCCCGGUUCGACGUCAUUCACCUGGCAGCCCAGAAGACCUACAACAACCUGGACAUCAGCGUGCGGGAGGCACUGCGGCAGCGCACCACCUGCCUGGAAGGUGUCAUCACCUGCUACCCCCACGAAACCAUGGAGGACAUCAUCGACCGCAUCGCCAAGGAGCAGGUAUCGAUGCUCUUAACUCUUAGCCCGCGACGCUCCGUCUUUCUCCACUUGCACCCUCCAUUUCUCUCCACUUCAGGUAGGCGCCGUCCCCCGCUGUUGUGUGCCUGUCCCCUCCCCACCGCUGGGUCACCCGCACCUCGUCACCUCCCUGCUCAGGCCACCGGCCCCCACCCCAGGCCAACCAGCCCCAGGGGACGGAGGAGGCUGGGGCUGGGGUCCAGCAGCGGUGGGUGGCCAGGUGGGGAUGGCAGGACCCGGAUGCUGCUUGCCUCCAGGGACACAAAGAUCACGGGGAUCCCUUCUGGGGUCCUGAUCCCUGGUGUCCGUGAGGAAGAAUGCGGGCACCUGCCACGGAGCCACACCCAGACCCCCAUCCAUGCAGCGUGUGGGAUGCAGGUUUUGCAGCUCCCUGAGGUUUGGGCUGGAUCAGGGUUUUGGGGUGUGAUGCACCUCAAGACAAAAGCCCUUUUUAGACCUUGCCUCAACCCCCCUCGAGACCUGAGCCCCUCCAGUGCCGUUCCCAGGGGACACAGAGGGGACGAACCCCCACUGGCACACCCCGGACACGCUGCCCACCACUAGCCAUGUGCACAGUGUGGCCGACCCAUGGGCCAUGGCUGGCAGAGCCCACUGCCCCCUCUGCCCACAGUGGCCCCAAAACCGCUUGCUCCAGGGACAGGGCUCACUCCCAGGCCGUGCUGGGAUUGCGCUGCCCGGCCACCUGUGCCUGGCUCUGCUCGCCCGCUGCCUGGUGAGUCCUCACUGGUGAUGAGGGGGCACAGUGCUGCCACCCACUGUGGCACACAUUUAGGGGUGAACUGGGCACCGGAGGGAGCUGGCCCUGGUGUCCAGCUGCUUCCCAAAGCUAAUGAUGCUUUUUUGGGGGGGUGGUGGGGAACGACCUUGGGUCACCCCAUACCUACCCCUGUGCCCACCCAUUCCCCCAGCAAUGCCCAGUUGCUCCAUGCAGAAGGGGACUGGGGGGUAGUGUGUCUUAACACACCAGACAUGGGACACCCCCCUUUCCCCAUCACAGUGCCUUCAUUCACCCCAUCCCUGGUGCUCAUGGGGGGGGGUGGCUGUGCUGGGAGCUGCUGGGUGGCCACCGGGAUGUCCCUUUCCAGGCCAGCACCCCCCUCCUACUCCAGGGCUUCCAUCCAAGCCAGGAAUGGAAGCAAGACCCCGUUGUUCCCUGCGCUGUCCCCAUGGUGCCUGGGGCAUUGACCGAUCCUCACUCUGAGGACACCAGGGAAG
This is an RNA transcript of Gavia stellata (red-throated loon), 2300 nucleotides long. It is a transcript of the gene named protein kinase AMP-activated non-catalytic subunit gamma 3, with no coding region annotated. The record is from RefSeq and is a predicted model, not a curated record. The transcript is spliced from 13 exons. Lineage: Eukaryota; Metazoa; Chordata; Aves; Gaviiformes; Gaviidae.